CUCAGGAGAAAAUAUAGUUUAUUUGGUUAUGUUCAUAUCGAUUUAUGGAAUGUUAGAUGAUUUUAUAAUCGAUUUACGGAUUUAAUUGCGUAUAUUUAUAUUUAUUUAUUAAUUAUUUGACUUCCGUAAAACCGUCCACUCGUAACGAGGUAGCAAAUUUUCUUCCCGGAAGUUUCAACAAAACUCACCUUUAGCCUAAUUUCAAUAUUCCGGACAUUUUUCGUGUUUUGACUUUUUCGAUCCGGAGUACGGUUUUUCCCGGAGUCGGUCCGGCGGAGUUUUGCGGGUAUUUUAAUUGUUGAUAAUUAUCUGGUUGUCUCGAUAAACGUGAAACUAGAUAUUUUGAUUCAUCCUUAUCUUGUAAUAAUUGCAAUGGGACCCGCAUACUAAUGACUGACUAAAAAGCCCCGUUUUGAUGAUUAUCUUGAAAACCAGUACCGAUUGGACCCCGUUUUAUUAUAUAAAGCUACUAAAUACAUAUUUUCAUGUCAUAAACGAUCCAAAGGGGUACCAAUUAUUCGUAAGUAUAAAUAAACCUUUCUAGAGCCUAUUUUCAACCGUAAAAUCAUUUCACUACUUUCUCUGCACGAAUACCGAGAGAAACCGAGCGGUGUUCUUCGUGUUCUUCAUAAUCAAACGAAGAUUUGAAGGUGUUAUUGGAGUCAGAAUCAAGCGUGCGAAUAGUCAAAUCGAAGAUAUCGAAGAGUAGAACCCAGAUCAAUCAUCAAAAACAACAUGAGAUUCACAGGAUUGGGACGAGACGUGUACGCUCGAAGACGUCAGGAAGUCGAAAUGGUAUUGCAAGGCGAAUAAGGGAUGAAUCGAGUAAGCGAAGCGAUGUGGCGAAUAGAGUAUAGCUAGAGAUGGUCUAGAGAUUAUGAGAUGCAUAGAUUGUGAAAGUGGAAAGAUGAGAUAGAGAUGUGAGACUGGAGUCAGAUUUAAGGCAAGUAUCCUGCACCCUGCUUUUGGAUAUAUUGCAUAUUCUGAUCCAUUCUUUUUAUAUGUGUUGCAAGUAUCCUAAACCUUUCUCUUGGAUAUAUUGCAAAUAUUCUGAUCCAUUCCUUUGGUA
Molecule: long non-coding RNA, 1069 nt
Organism: Daucus carota subsp. sativus
Lineage: Eukaryota; Viridiplantae; Streptophyta; Magnoliopsida; Apiales; Apiaceae
Exons: 2
Source: RefSeq, a predicted model, not a curated record